This 376-nucleotide ribosomal RNA is filed under the name uncultured bacterium. RNAcentral describes it as "bacterial SSU rRNA". It matches the Rfam family "Bacterial small subunit ribosomal RNA", at positions 30 to 407 of the family's 1533-position model. The record is from RNAcentral.
AUUGAACGCUGGCGGCAUGCUUUACACAUGCAAGUCGAACGGGGUGAGGAGCUUGCUCCUCAUCUAGUGGCGAACGGGUGAGUAAUACAUCGGAACGUACCGUGUAGUGGGGAUAACGUAGCGAAAGUUACGCUAAUACCGCAUACGAUCCACGGAUGAAAGCAGGGGACCUUCGGGCCUUGUGCUAUACGAGCGGCCGAUGUCUGAUUAGCUAGUUGGUGGGGUAAAGGCCCACCAAGGCAACGAUCAGUAGCGGGUCUGAGAGGAUGAUCCGCCACACUGGGACUGAGACACGGCCCAGACCCCCUAACGGGAGGCAGCAGUGGGGAAUUUUGGACAAUGGGCGCAAGCCUGAUCCAGCCAUGCCGCGUGUCUG